Long non-coding RNA from Zingiber officinale, 1714 nucleotides. RefSeq lists it as uncharacterized. The transcript is spliced from 4 exons. Lineage: Eukaryota; Viridiplantae; Streptophyta; Magnoliopsida; Zingiberales; Zingiberaceae. The record is from RefSeq and is a predicted model, not a curated record.
UUCCUUCUUAAUCCCGAUUCUCUCCUCCCUCCACCGAUCCUCUCCUCCUUCGCCUCUCGCAGCACCACCGUCGCCCCCUCUUGGUGUCGCCGGCGUAGGGCAACCCUUGAUCGUUGAGGAGGGUAGCUAUCGACUCUUCUUCCUCCCUUUCUUUCUCUCUCACGCGAAAGCCCGAUACCGACGGAGAACGACUUCCUCCACUGCGAUCGUGUACUUGCCGAGUCGCCGGAGGAAGUGUCGUUGGAUCUCGACGAUACCUGUCAUCUCCGGCUGAGCGAUUGCAUCUUCAGCGGGUUCUUGCUCACGAUCGAUUGUUGCUUGGCUUCCAGGGAACAACGGAGCUAGGGCACGACAGGGGAGUUGAUUCGCAUCAUUCUCGGCGGAUCGAGCCCUCUCAAUCUUCUCUUCGAUCUGUUCAUUGGAGAGAGUUGCAGAUCGUCACUAGUUGAGAUGGAUCGUGCGACACGAACUGGAGACGAUCAGUUGAGAGGAUGUAUCGGAUCAACAUAGGGGUGGACUUCUCUUGAGCUAAACACCACUGGCGACCCCAUCUUUCCACCACCAACCUGCUGUCGUCGGGAAUUCACUAUUGCUGGCAAUAGUGAGCUGCUACCAGAGAAGAAGGAAGUUAAUUGGAGGCUUCAUUUGCUUUCAGCCACCACAUAACCGAUAGCUAGUUGCUAGCUCCAUCUGAUUUAUAUCAUUAUUGGCUACUGAAGAAGAAGAGGAUUUUGAUUCGAGGCGAGCGUCUCGACAUGGGGGUUGUAUUUGACACAAUCUACAUUUAAGGCGGGUAUUUCUUCCUUGGCUUCUAUAUAUUUAUUUGAGCUUAGUGCAUGGUUAUUAUUAGAUGGAUUAGGUUGUUUCACCUUAAAUCAUGAUCAUUUGUUGUUUUUCCUGCUUGAUACUUAUGCUUGGUCUUUGAGAUGUUCUAGUUAUAUCAUAUACAGUCUCAUUUCUCGAUACUUGGACUCUGUUGUAUAUACACAUAUAGGGUAUGUAUUAUCGGGAGGUCUGGUUGGUUUAGGUUAUUAUGUUGUUUAUGCAUGCCCAUGUUGAGUGUACUCAUGAUUGGUAUAUGUUGUAAGAAUCAUAUGAUUGACUGUCUAUUUGAGUUCAGUGUGGUUAUUGAGGUUUCUUGUGGAUUGUACCCAUGUGUUUAUGUGUAUACGUCUGAUUAUGAUACUGGAGGAUUUAUGUUGGUUAUACCUACGUUUUAGGGAGUGUACGAGUAUGUGGUGUAUAUGAGUUUAGUGAGGUUAUUGGAGAUUUUUGGUUGACUAUACAUGUGUAGUUGUGUACACGUGUUUGGUGGGAUAUAUGGAGGUAUCAUGAUGAUUAUAUUCAUGUUAGGGGUACUUAUGUGGAUUUAGAGGUUGCAUGGAUGAUGAUGGUGUCUGUAUCAUGAUUAUAUAUAUAUCAUGUUCAUCAUUCAUUGCAUACUGACGACUAUGUUCUCCCUUGUAGUGAGAGAGUCGUUAGUCGUUUUGGUUUAGCGUUGUACACUCAGCCACUCAUGGGUAGUGGUAGCUGGAGCAGUUGUCGCUCAUCCUGUCGUGCCACCCGGUCACGAGGUUUGUGAGAUCCGACAUUGUGAGCAGUCAGAGACCCUAAUGUUAUGUAGUUAGAUAGCUACUAGCGGACUGUCCACCUCGACCACUUUAUAGUGGGCUGGAGGGUAGUACAGUCAUCACGGACCCAAGCCUCUCGGCCA